GGACUACCCGGGUAUCUAAUCCUGUUUGCUCCCCACGCUUUCGCGCCUCAGCGUCAGUGUCGGUCCAGUGAGCCGCCUUCGCCACCGGUGUUCUUCCCAAUAUCUACGAAUUUCACCUCUACACUGGGAAUUCCACUCACCUCUCCCGAACUCAAGCACUACAGUAUCAAGUGCAAUUCCCGGGUUGAGCCCAGGGCUUUCACACCUAACUUGUAGCGCCGCCUACGCGCCCUUUACGCCCAGUAAUUCCGAACAACGCUAGCCCCCUUCGUAUUACCGCGGCUGCUGGCAC
Molecule: ribosomal RNA, 292 nt
Filed under: uncultured bacterium
Lineage: Bacteria
Description: partial 16S ribosomal RNA
Source: RNAcentral